UGGGGAAUAUUGGACAAUGGGCGAAAGCCUGAUCCAGCCAUGCCGCGUGUGUGAAGAAGGUCUUCGGAUUGUAAAGCACUUUAAGUUGGGAGGAAGGGCAGUAAGCGAAUACCUUGCUGUUUUGACGUUACCGACAGAAUAAGCACCGGCUAACUCUGUGCCAGCAGCCGCGGUAAUACAGAGGGUGCAAGCGUUAAUCGGAAUUACUGGGCGUAAAGCGCGCGUAGGUGGUUCGUUAAGUUGAAUGUGAAAGCCCCGGGCUCAACCUGGGAACUGCAUCCAAAACUGGCGGGCUAGAGUAGGGCAGAGGGUGGUGGAAUUUCCUGUGUAGCGGUGAAAUGCGUGGAUAUAGGAAGGAACACCAGUGGCGAGGGCGACCACCUGGGCUCAUACUGACACUGAGGUGCGAAAGCGUGGGGAGCAAACAGG
This 429-nucleotide ribosomal RNA is filed under the name Pseudomonadota bacterium. Its description in RNAcentral is "Proteobacteria bacterium partial 16S ribosomal RNA". It matches the Rfam family "Bacterial small subunit ribosomal RNA", at positions 355 to 776 of the family's 1533-position model. The record is from RNAcentral. Lineage: Bacteria; Pseudomonadati; Pseudomonadota.